GAUGAAGAACGUAGCGAAAUGCGAUACGUAAUGUGAAUUGCAGAAUUCAGUGAAUCAUCGAAUCUUUGAACGCAUAUUGCGCUCUCUGGUAUUCCGGAGAGCAUGCUUGUUUGAGUAUCAGUAAACACCUCAACUCCCUUUUCUUUUUUGAAAUUGGAGCUGGACUUGAGUGAUCCCAACGCUUUCUUCCAAGAAAGUGGCGGGUUGCUUGAAAUGCAGGUGCAGCUGAACUUUUCUCUGAGCUAUAAGCAUAUCUAUUUAGUCUGCCUAAAAAACAGAUUAUUACCUUUGCUGCAGCUAACAGAAAGGAGACUAGUUCUUGUGCUGACUGAUGCAGGAUUCACAGAGACAGCUUCGGCUGACUUUGUAAACUCGAUCUCAAAUCAAGUAAGACUACCCGCUGAACUUAAGCAUAUCAAUAAGCGGAGGA
This 430-nucleotide unclassified non-coding RNA is filed under the name soil metagenome. Its description in RNAcentral is "partial contains 5.8S ribosomal RNA, internal transcribed spacer 2, and large subunit ribosomal RNA". The stretch from base 1 to 120 matches the Rfam family "5.8S ribosomal RNA", at positions 35 to 154 of the family's 154-position model. The record is from RNAcentral.